CAUUACCGAGUUUACAACUCCCAAACCCCUGUGAACAUACCAUUUGUUGCCUCGGCGGUGCCUGCUUCGGCAGCCCGCCAGAGGACCCAAACCCUUGAUUUUAUACAGUAUCUUCUGAGUAAAUGAUUAAAUAAAUCAAAACUUUCAACAACGGAUCUCUUGGUUCUGGCAUCGAUGAAGAACGCAGCGAAAUGCGAUAAGUAAUGUGAAUUGCAGAAUUCAGUGAAUCAUCGAAUCUUUGAACGCACAUUGCGCCCGCCAGUAUUCUGGCGGGCAUGCCUGUUCGAGCGUCAUUUCAACCCUCAAGCCCCCGGGCUUGGUGUUGGAGAUCGGCGUGCCCCCCGGGGCGCGCCGGCUCCCAAAUAUAGUGGCGGUCUCGCUGUAGCUUCCUCUGCGUAGUAGCACACCUCGCACUGGAAAACAGCGUGGCCACGCCGUUAAACCCCCCACUUCUGAAAGGUUGACCUCGGAUCAGGUAGGAAUACCCGCUGAACUUAAGCAUAUCAAUAAGCGGAGGAAAAGAAACCAACAGGGAUUGCCCUAGUAACGGCGAGUGAAGCGGCAACAGCUCAAAUUUGAAAUCUGGCCCUCGGGUCCGAAUUGUAAUUUGUAGAGGAUGCUUUUGGUGAGGUACCUUCCGAGUUCCCUGGAACGGGACGCCAUA
RNAcentral lists this ribosomal RNA (664 nucleotides) under fungal sp. RNAcentral describes it as "eukaryotic LSU rRNA". The stretch from base 140 to 293 matches the Rfam family "5.8S ribosomal RNA". Lineage: Eukaryota; Fungi. The record is from RNAcentral.